RNAcentral lists this ribosomal RNA (90 nucleotides) under Pseudoduganella violacea. RNAcentral's name for it is "partial 23S ribosomal RNA". It matches the Rfam family "Bacterial large subunit ribosomal RNA", at positions 2836 to 2925 of the family's 2925-position model. The record is from RNAcentral. Lineage: Bacteria; Pseudomonadati; Pseudomonadota; Betaproteobacteria; Burkholderiales; Oxalobacteraceae. RNAcentral also lists the same sequence under 1 other name.
CGUUCGAGACCAGGACGUUGAUAGGUCGGGUGUGGAAGUGCAGUAAUGCAUUAAGCUAACCGAUACUAAUUGCCCGUACGGCUUGUCCCU